GGUGAGAUUUUGGCUUAGCUUUGGUGGGAGAAAGAAAAGCAAUUCUUUUUCCUUGAAAAUGGAGUGACCUACGGCAAUGAAAUGGUGGAGAAGACAACCCACCUUGUUUUAACUUUGCUUUGUCAUUCUUUCAUACAUAGUUAGGUGACACAUGGUGGGUAAACUUAAUUUUAUCUUUUAACUUUCCAUAUUCACACUUUAACCUACU
Molecule: long non-coding RNA, 208 nt
Filed under: Manihot esculenta (cassava)
Lineage: Eukaryota; Viridiplantae; Streptophyta; Magnoliopsida; Malpighiales; Euphorbiaceae
Description: long non-coding RNA (MESC_LNC007684)
Source: RNAcentral